GACGAACGCUGGCGGCGUGCUUAACACAUGCAAGUCGAACGGAAAGGCCCUGCUUUUGUGGGGUGCUCGAGUGGCGAACGGGUGAGUAACACGUGAGUAACCUGCCCUUGACUUUGGGAUAACUUCAGGAAACUGGGGCUAAUACCGGAUAGGAGCUCCUGCUGCAUGGUGGGGGUUGGAAAGUUUCGGCGGUUGGGGAUGGACUCGCGGCUUAUCAGCUUGUUGGUGGGGUAGUGGCUUACCAAGGCUUUGACGGGUAGCCGGCCUGAGAGGGUGACCGGCCACAUUGGGACUGAGAUACGGCCCAGACUCCUACGGGAGGCAGCAGUGGGGAAUAUUGCACAAUGGGCGGAAGCCUGAUGCAGCAACGCCGCGUGCGGGAUGACGGCCUUCGGGUUGUAAACCGCUUUCGCCUGUGACGAAGCGUGAGUGACGGUAAUGGGUAAAGAAGCACCGGCUAACUACGUGCCAGCAGCCGCGGUGAUACGUAGGGUGCGAGCGUUGUCCGGAUUUAUUGGGCGUAAAGGGCUCGUAGGUGGUUGAUCGCGUCGGAAGUGUAAUCUUGGGGCUUAACCCUGAGCGUGCUUUCGAUACGGGUUGACUUGAGGAAGGUAGGGGAGAAUGGAAUUCCUGGUGGAGCGGUGGAAUGCGCAGAUAUCAGGAGGAACACCAGUGGCGAAGGCGGUUCUCUGGGCCUUUCCUGACGCUGAGGAGCGAAAGCGUGGGGAGCGAACAGGCUUAGAUACCCUGGUAGUCCACGCUGUAAACGGUGGGUACUAGGUGUGGGGUCCAUUCCACGGGUUCCGUGCCGUAGCUAACGCUUUAAGUACCCCGCCUGGGGAGUACGGCCGCAAGGCUAAAACUCAAAGGAAUUGACGGGGCCCCGCACAAGCGGCGGAGCAUGCGGAUUAAUUCGAUGCAACGCGUAGAACCUUACCUGGGUUUGACAUGGAUCGGGAGCGCUCAGAGAUGGGUGUGCCUCUUUUGGGGUCGGUUCACAGGUGGUGCAUGGCUGUCGUCAGCUCGUGUCGUGAGAUGUUGGGUUAAGUCCCGCAACGAGCGCAACCCUUGUUCACUGUUGCCAGCACGUUAUGGUGGGGACUCAGUGGAGACCGCCGGGGUCAACUCGGAGGAAGGUGGGGAUGACGUCAAGUCAUCAUGCCCCUUAUGUCCAGGGCUUCACGCAUGCUACAAUGGCUGGUACAGAGAGUGGCGAGCCUGUGAGGGUGAGCGAAUCUCGGAAAGCCGGUCUCAGUUCGGAUUGGGGUCUGCAACUCGACCCCAUGAAGUCGGAGUCGCUAGUAAUCGCAGAUCAGCAACGCUGCGGUGAAUACGUUCCCGGGGCU
This 1346-nucleotide ribosomal RNA is filed under the name uncultured bacterium. Its description in RNAcentral is "bacterial SSU rRNA". It matches the Rfam family "Bacterial small subunit ribosomal RNA", at positions 28 to 1381 of the family's 1533-position model. The record is from RNAcentral.